UAUAUUAAUCCCUUUCUACUUUGCGGGUGCGAGUGCUGCCUUGUAGCGGCAUUAGCCUACUCUUUUUCGAAAUCUACAAGGGUGUCUUUAACGUGCAAGAGAUAUGGCUCUCUCUUAACACGGGUCAGCCAUUUAUCGUCCCCUUCCGACGGACUAUCAUCGUUUCCUCAAGACCAUACUCGCAAAUGGUGUCAAGGGAGAGCCGAAAAUUGAGUUCCUGAAAUUUUC
This 228-nucleotide long non-coding RNA is filed under the name Mytilus galloprovincialis (Mediterranean mussel). Lineage: Eukaryota; Metazoa; Mollusca; Bivalvia; Mytilida; Mytilidae. The record is from RNAcentral.